This 254-nucleotide ribosomal RNA is filed under the name uncultured bacterium. RNAcentral's name for it is "partial 16S ribosomal RNA". It matches the Rfam family "Bacterial small subunit ribosomal RNA", at positions 524 to 776 of the family's 1533-position model. The record is from RNAcentral.
GACGAACCGUGCGAACGUUAUUCGGAAUCACUGGGCUUAAAGCGCGUGUAGGCGGCCCGCCGCGUCGGCUGCUGAAAUCCCCCGGCUCAACCGGGGAACGGGCACCGAUACGGGCGGCCUCGAGGGGGGUAGGGGGACCUGGAACUUCCGGUGGAGCGGUGAAAUGCGUUGAGAUCGGAAGGAACGCCCGUGGCGAAAGCGAGGUCCUGGACCCUUUCUGACGCUGAGACGCGAAAGCCAGGGGAGCGAACGGG